RNAcentral lists this long non-coding RNA (5954 nucleotides) under Citrus sinensis (sweet orange). RNAcentral's name for it is "long non-coding RNA (CSIN_LNC003984)". The record is from RNAcentral. Lineage: Eukaryota; Viridiplantae; Streptophyta; Magnoliopsida; Sapindales; Rutaceae.
UAUCCAGCUUCUGCAAGUAGCUUAUUGUCACAAGACCGAAUCUGCAUUUCUAGGUUAGACAAACAGGCACCAAAAUCUGUAAUUUAUGUAAGUUUUGGAAGCAUUGCUGCCAUUGAUGAGACCAAAUUUUUGGAAGUAGCUUGGGGCCUAGCCAACAGCAAGGUGCCAUUCUUGUGGGUGGUACGGCCAGGACUAGUCCGCGGAGCAGAAUGGAUUGAGCUAUUACCACGAGGGUUCUUGGAAAUGUUAGACGGAAGAGGGCAUAUAGUGAAAUGGGCUCCCCAGCAAGAAGUGCUAGCUCAUCCUGCCACCGGAGCAUUUUGGACACAUUGUGGCUGGAAUUCGACGUUGGAAAGUAUGUGUGAAGGUGUCCCCAUGAUAUGCCAGCCUUGUCAUGGUGAGCAAAUGGUGAUUGCAAGAUAUGUUAGUGAUGUUUGGAAAGUUGGUUUGCAUUUGGAAAGGAAGCUGGAGAGAGGGGAGGUUGAAAGGGCAAUUAGAAGAGUAAUGGUGGAUGCCGAGGGGCGGGAAAUGAGGAACAGAGCUGAGAUUCUGAAGGAAAAACUGGAUCUUUGUACAAAGCAAGGCAGUUCUUCAUAUCAAUCUCUAGAAAACUUGAUUAGUUACAUUUUGUCAUACUAGAUUUUCCAAUACUUACAUCUAUCUUUCUAAUAAGGGCAGUAUGAAAAUUAAAACAUGGCAUGUCCCGGCCGUAUUCAAUGAGAUCUUUCUGAAUAUUUAUGUGAUCAGCGUUCCCCAACCCAAGGAGUGAAACUUGAAGGACUUAUCCAAAAUCCGUAGCAAGGCCAAGUUUAUAUUGUUUAAGGGGAUUUUUUUUUUUUUGCAAUAAUUGUGGGGUGUUGAAGAAAAAGCUGAUAAGAUAGUGACCUGCACUCUCUUCUAGUCUUCUUGCAUUAACAGUGUCCGAAGUUUGUGCAUUUGUUGGAUAUUUCUGAUCCUUACAGGAAAUCAAAAGUCGGAUUUGUAUUUGUGAGCUGAAUAAAGACGUGAGUUGGUUUGUGUUGCUCUCGUUGUUUAAUUUCCCCUUCUUCAUGUGAAGGAAUGCAUUAUAUUUCAUUUAGCAAUUUAUUAGAUUAUUAAUUAUUGUUGCUCGUUAAACUAAAGUUUCGUUCACCAAUAAAAUAUUUAAUUAACUCAUUGUACGUGUGUACGGCUAAUGAACAACAGUAUAAGUGAGAAAUUAAACAGAAAGCAGGAAGCAGAAAGAUUCAAUGGAGAAUCAAAUAGAGUCACAUACGCAACAAUAAGAACGGAAUAAGAGUGAUACUCUUCGCAUAAGAGUCCAUGCUUCAGCUUGCAAGCAUUCUCUAUUCCAGAGGCUUCUCAGCCUCUGUAAUUCAAUACCAGCUUCAACUCUCCAAAAUCUUCAAACUACGUACCCUCUCUUCUAGUGGAGCUGUGGAGUUCCCCAAAAAAAACCCAUAAUUUUCUAUCCGACCUUUUCCUUUGAUAUGAUUAUUAGUGGAGGAGAAAAAAUGAGUCAGAAACUUUAGAUUAGACAUCUGCAAUUCUGCAUGGGUAACGUAACGUCACUCAUUCAAUAGUUGGGCUAAAGUUUGGAUUCUUAUAAGAGGGCGAGAUAAGCCCAUUGGGCCUAUAAGCUGAUAACACCGCCGAAAAGCUAACUAAAACAGGAGCAGCAAAUCAAAUUAUUACUUCAGUUUUAUGGCUGCCACAUGGUUCUCUGCUUGUCUUGUCUAAUGGGCAACGCCAAUGCGUCGGUGCUCUGCCUUUGUGCCCCAUCUAAUAAUAUAUUAUGAUUAUGAUUAUUAUCUAAUUCAUGCAUAUCCUUUCUAAGUGAUUGGGUUGCCACUAUUUUACAUUACUUUUUUACAUCCUUUUUUUAUGCAUGUAUUGCUUUAUGCAAGUCUAAAAGAGGUUCUAUGACACAAUCCAUGGGUUUAUCCAAACUCAAAUCAAAUUAAAUGGUUUGGGUUGGGUAAAUCAUUAAAAUGGGUUAGAUGUGGGUUUUAUGUAAAAAACCAUUUCAUUAUGGUUUGGGUAUGGUUUACCCAUGGGUUAUGGAUAAAACCCCAACACUUAAAUUUUCAAAUGAAAUAAAUCACCAUUAAAUUUUUUACGGCUGAUCAAUUAUCAACAGUUUGAAAAUGAAAAUAACAGUAAAAAUAAAUUUAAAUUAAAUAAAUAUUGUUGUAAAUAACAUAAAUUUUUUUUCUUAUUUACAAAAAUAAUUCCUCCCACAUGGAAAGAUCAUCAUAGAAAGAGCAGGAGACUCUACUAAUGAUCAAUAAUAAUUCGGCUUGGAUUGGGUCCGAUAUGCUAGAUGUCGGCUAAUUUUUGGUUAAUAAUUGAAUGUAAUGCCCAUAUUAAGUAUUAAAACAAGAAAUAUAUAUUUUGAUAUGAGUAGAAAAAUUAAUAAUAAAAUUUUUUCUUGUAAUUAUUUAUUUUGUGAACAUUUUCUUAUAAUAAAUAUUUUGUAAUAUUUUAAAAUUAAAUGUAAAAAGUAUAGGUAAAAUAUUUUAUUAUUUAUCUUAUAAUAAAUUUUUAUUUGUCAAUCAAGUUUUCUUAUAAUAAUUUUUUUAUCAUUUUACUAAUAAUUUUCUUAUAUAUUUAUUAUAAGAAAAUUUUCAAAAAAUAAAUAAGUAUAAAAAAAUUUUAUUAUUAAUUUUUUUGUUCAUAUCAAAACAAAUAUUUCUUAUUUUUAAUGCUUUAUUUUUUAUUUAGUUUCUAUUCAUGUGAUUUAUUUAAUUUAUAAUAAAUGUAAAUAAAAGAGUAAUUAAAAAUUACCAAAACGAUAAAUAAAAACAAAUAUUGCAUAAUUAAAUAAAUAACAAGUGGCAAAAUUUAUUAUUAGAUUGUUAAUGUCAUGUUUGUGAAAGUUUAUUAUUAAAGUGUACGUUCUUAUUUAUUGAGAAAUAAUAAUUUUUGUGAUUAAACUUUAUUUUGAUUUUCUAGUAUUCUUUAAUUUAAGGAUUAAGUUAUUGUAAAAUUUAUAAUUUUUAUCCACUAUAUUUUUUAUAUUUUAAUAUCAAUUUAAUAAUUAAUAACAAUUAAUAAUUAUUAUAAUUUUGAUAUAAUUAAAUUUUAUUAAAAUAAAAAUUAUUUUGAUAAUAAAAUUCAAACCAAACCCAAACCAAACUCAAAUGGUUUGGUUUGGUUUGGGUUAAAAAUAUUUGGGUUGGUUUGGGUUGGAUCCAAAUUUUUAUGGUUUGGUUUGGGUUGACUUAAAAUCCAACCCAAACCAACCCAUGCCCACCCCUAGAUAGGGUCAUACAAACUCAAAAAAGUAAGCACCUCUUUCUUUUUAUAUGCAUUUAAUUUUUGACCUACUUGGUGUGCUAGUGUUAUGGUGUAAAGACAAGAUUGGAUCUGUAAUCUCAAAACAAAAUUUAGUGGGUGAUGUCAUUGUGCAAUAUUGUCACGAGCCUUCUGGUUGAUUCAUAAUGUCGGCAUUAUUUAUAGAACAUUAUAGAAUAUAAAAUAAAUUUACGAAAUUAUAUUUGAUAGUGAACUGUUUUAUGGGAUCCCCUAUCUUACAUGCAUGUAAGAUACAUGUCUCUCACAUGAAUAGUGUGUGGGUCCCACAUAUACACUAUUCAUGUGAGAGGCAUGUAUCUUACAUGCAUGUAAGAUAGAGUUUGCCCUGUUUUAUUGAUCUUUGUGCAUGAGACUCAGUUUUCUUAACACCAAGAGAUUCCAUUUGUCGGCUCAAUAAUUUAUGAAGGUGAGUUUGUAUAUUAUAUAGAUCAUGCGAAUUGCGACCGUCUCUUAAAAGGUGGCAUUUGUUGGAUUCCUUGUACAUUUUAGGUGUUUUUGAUAUACUAUAUUUUAUUAUAAUGUAAUAUAAUAUAAAGUUUUGUAAUGUUUGGUAUUAUAUCGUACAUUAUUAUAUAUAAUAUUAUUUAUAUUAAAUUAAUUUUUUAUAAUUAUAAAUAUCUUAAAAAUUUUAUAGUUUAUAUUUAUUAUUUAAAUUUAUAAAUAUAAAUAAAAUUAUUCACCAACGAUCACCGUGAACCAUUGCAAAUUGCUUCGGGCAUUCAUAUUUUGAUAAUUUUUUUUAAACUUCAAUUCUAGUGCUAUUAGAAUCCUUGUCAGCGGAUCGGAUCUAUACAACGAGUGAGCAAAAGCUUUGAUUCUGCUAUUACAUAUGCUAUCGAGUAAUUCCAAUGAUAAAGACUCCAUUGGUACCAAAAUUGAUGUCAAAGAAUGCUAAAAUAAUAUUAUUGGUGGUGGAUUGUGGUGGUCAGCAUUCGAAUUUAUUGUUUUAUAAACUAAUAAUAAAUAAAUUAAAUAUAUUGUAAUUGAUUAAAUAAUUCUACGUUUUAAAAGUCAGCAAUAUAUCUUAGUCACGGUGGGAUUGUAUAUCAUUACUUUAUGGGCCCAGCAUUACUUUGAUAUUGCGGCAAAAGAUGCAUUAAGGCCUUCGGUUAAUGUUGCUCAAUGCAAAUUUAAUAUAGAAAGCAGAGUCAUUUGAAUCUUUCAUUAAACACAACAUAGCAAGCCAAAAGAAGAAAGAUUCAAUGGAUGUACUUGGAGAUUCUCACAUUCAUCAAAAGAAAGGAAGAAGACUGAUACUCUUCCCACUGCCUUUACAAGGCCACAUAAACCCAAUGCUUCAGCUUGCAAACAUUCUCUAUUCAAAAGGCUUUUCAAUCACCAUAAUCCACACCAACUUCAACUCCCCGAAUCCCUCAAACUACCCUCACUUCACCUUCUGUUCAAUCGAAGACAGCUUGUCAGAAACUGAAGCCUCUACCGCGGAUUUAGUGGCUCUUCUUUCACUACUUAAUGUUCAGUGUGUUGUGCCAUUUCGGAAUUGCUUGGCUAAGUUGUUGUCAAAUGUUGAGGAGGAGGAAAAGGAGCCUAUUGCUUGCUUAAUCACGGAUGCUACUUGGUACUUCACUCAGGCUGUUGCUGAAAGCCUAAAGCUCUCCAGGAUUGUGUUAAGGACUAAUAGCGUCUCUUCAUUUCUUGUUUUUUCCGCCUUUCCAGUUCUAAGCCAAAAGGGUUACUUCCCAAUACGAGGUGCGAUCAAAUUAGUUCUUGCUACUAGUAUCAGUGAUAAUUUUAUUUGUAGGUACUGUCUGAUUAUCGAAUCUUGCCCUGGAGAAAUCUCCCCUUAGGAUGAUUGGAAUUCUUAGUACAUUUCAUAAUUUAGUUAUUAUGACAGUAAUUCAUUAUAGUAAUGAGUAAUGAUCAGUGCAAAUGGUACUUGAUAUUAAAAUGAUCUUCUUUUACUAUUUUUGUUCUUCAAUGUUCAGAUUCUCAAUCGGAAGCACCAGUGCCAGAACUUCCACCUCUAAGAGUGAAAGACAUUCCUGUAGUUGAAACCUGUUACCGAGAGACACUUCAUCGAUUGGUAACAGAAGCAACCAAUCAGAUGAAGGUCUCCUCGGGAUGCAUAUGGAACUCACUUCAGGAUCUUGAACUUGCUUCUCUAACCAAAUUUCAUCAGGACUUCCCCAUUCCAAUGUUCCCGAUAGGCCCAUUUCACAAGUUCUUUUCAGCUUCUUCAAGUAGCUUACUUGCACAUGACCAAACCUCAAUUUCCUGGUUAGAUAAACAAACACCAAAAUCUGUAAUUUAUGUAAGUUUUGGAAGCAUUGCUGCAAUUAACGAGACCGAAUUUUUAGAAGUAGCUUGGGGCCUAGCCAACAGCAAGGUGCCAUUCCUGUGGGUGGUACGGCCAGGAUUAGUCCGUGGAGCAGAAUGGAUUGAACCAUUGCCACAAGGGUUCCUAGAAACGCUAGAUGGAAGAGGACAUAUGGUGAAAUGGGCCCCGCAGCAAGAAGUGCUAGCUCAUCCUGCCACUGGAGGAUUUUGGACACAUUGUGGCUGGAAUUCGACAUUGGAAAGUAUAUGUGAAGGUGUCCCCAUGAUAUGCCAGCCUUGUUUUGGUGACCAAAUGGUGAAUGCAAGAUAUGUUAGUGAUGUUUGGAAAGUUGGUUUGCAUUUGGAAAGGAAGCUGGAGAGAG